UGUCCGAAUGCUUAGCUAUGUGACACUGGGUGAGAUGCUUAACCUCUUUCAACUGAAGUUUCUUUAUCUAAAAAAUAAGAAUAUGUCUGCUUCAAAAGGCUGCUCUGAGGAUGAACUAUUAUAGUGAAAGUGAACCCCUCAGCAUGGAGCAUUUGUUCCAAGACUAGUCCCCCAUAUUCUCAAAACAUUAGCCUAAAAUUAUAUUCUAGGCUCUGGUACUAGGUAUUUGGGGCUAUAUGUAUUCUCUUCUCAGAAAUGUCAUGUGACAAUGGAACUGGGAAGUUGAGAAGGAUGGGGGCAGCUGUGCGGUGUAUUGCUAAAAGAGAGGCAUUUUAGAACAUCACAGCUGUAGAUACUUACUGUUCCCACCCCACCCACUGCAUCCCUUCCCUUCUUCUCAUAUUGGUACCAUGGGAAUCACUCUCUCUUCCAUUCUCAGUCCGUGCACUUUGAAUGUAGUUGACUGAAUACCGAACUCCAUGGAAGGACUCAGCCUGGAAAACCAAGCAUCUCAUCAGAUCUGAAGAGAUACACUCUGGAAAGCUUUGCUGCAGCUGUGAGAGGAAGCAUGUGCUCUUUUCCACUGAAAUUGAACCUUGAAACUUGCAGCUACUGAGAGCCAUUUUGCUAGCGUGGGAGUGUAAGAAAUAACACAGUGCGCUGGGAACAGAGUUGAGAGAUGGAGAGACACAGUGUCCUGGUUGUAUCGCGUUAGUCCAUGGAUCCAGCCUCACUAAGCCAUGUACGACCCCGUCUUAGUCAGGGCUGCUAGAACAAAGUACCAGAGACCGAGUAGCUUAUAAACAACAGAAAUUUAUUUCUCGUGGCUCUGGAGGCCGGAAGUCUGAGAUCAGAGCGCCGGCAUGGUUGGGUUCUGGUAAGGAUUCUCUUCCGUGUCACACACUUCUCAUUGUGUCCUCACUUGGUGCAGAGAGGGACUGGACAGAACCAAGACUACCACCGCCAUUUUGCAAGCUGCCUCAUUCACAAGCAUCAAUGACAGAAAGUCAGGCACAGAGAGAAGAGCCGCAGUGCCCCCUGUUCAGCGUGUGACACCUGCACCCACAGUGCUCCUAGAGUCGCCCUCACCACUUGCUUGUCCUCUUGGACACAACCACUUAAUAACCGAAGGCCAUAUUCUGGAGAUUGCUGGCAGAUUCUUUUUCUCUGAAGCCUUUAGUAAGACUGGUAAAACGCAAUUCAUAAAACGGACUGGUGUCGGUUCCCUUUUCUCUCAUCCUUGUAAAAGCGCUGAUGGAGGGGCCAGUGCAAAGGAACAGCAGGCUGCAGGAGAAGGAAGGGAGGCCGUGGGGCCCGCACCAGCUCAUCGCAGAUCUGAGAAGGAACGCCAGGCGGGGAAAUCCAUCCUACAGAACACAGUCUACACAGGCCUGGAGAGUCCUUUUCAGUCAGGACUUUCAAGGGCUGCUCUGAGUCCUACCUGCGAGUUGGAUAACGUCCAGGUGUCCGUGCAAUCCGCAUUCCUCAGCCCGGCACUCAAGGCUCUCCAUCAUCUGACCCCAAGCUAGCUCUCCAGUGCCCUCCCCCGCCCCCCUUUCCCAUAGUAACCAACUACCUUCCUCAGACCCACCCCCUCCCAGCUCUCAACCACGUCCGGGAGGGCUCCCACAGCUGUGACUUUGACCUUUCCACCUGACAAACUUCUUACCUCCUUUCCCCUUUCCUAAUUUCAACAGGGAUCAAAUCCAUUCUCUCUCGUCUCGUGACGCUGUCCCCGACCUCCUCAGUCAAAAGCGGCUUGUCUUUCCUCCCAACACUUUCGCUCACGGUGCUCUCUCUUCUCACGGCGCUUCCACACUUCCUUGCACGAUUACCUGUCGCUUAGUGCGCCUUCCAUUUCCGCGAUGAGGUUGUUUACUCCUUGAGGUCAAGCGUGACUCUACCUUAUGUUUCGUAAUCAACCCGGUAGUUCCUGGCACAGUGAUCUGUGCAGAGUAAAUGUUAAAAAAAAUAGUUUGCACUUGAGGAUUGAGGCUGAGUAACACGUCCCCUGCACGUGUCUUUGCUCACAAUCUCUCUGGAGAACGGAGUUCGUAACUGGGCGUCAGAUCCGGGAGAGGCAGACAGGUGGAUGUCGGGGAAAGAAAGACAAAUGGCUAAAUGUUAAGCGGGAGGGGCUGAAGGGAGGGGCCAGGUCAGCAGAGCUGAAAGGAAGCACGUGGGACAGCAGACGCCGCGUCUGCGCAGAAGCUCGGCUCCCAGGACGCCCAGGAAGCGCGCCUCCCACGCCCCACCGCACGGGCCGCCCAGGCGCACAGGUGGGAGCUCGCUCGGUCGGGUUCCCCCGCCACUGACGCAGCAGCUCCCGGCAGCCGGAAAGGGUCCACCCCGCGAGGAGGACAGCUCAGCACGUCCGCGGGAAGGCCUGAGGCAGCCUCGGGGGCCGCACGCCUCGAAGGGCCGGCGCGGGCCUGCGCAGAGGGCGGACGGAGCGGCGCUCGGGACCCGGCGUGUGGCUCGGGGAGGCCACUCGGCACCUUGGGGGCUCGCUUCCCGCAGCCUGGCUGAUAGGAGGUACCGCCUCCCUGCCCUCCUUCCCAGCACAGACUCUGUCCAUGCGGGCAGAAUAUGAUCAACUGAAGUGCCUUUCCCAUCGUUCCUUGCAGAUGGGGUGAGAUCAUGGUUCAGAAAUCACUGAAGUGGGUUUUUUGGAAAUCUCUUUACAGAGAACCUAGAAUCUCCUUUAAAGAGAGUUAGGAGGUGUGCCCCUCUGCAUUUCAGCUUCCUUUCUUCCUCCUCCCACCUGGAACAUGGAUGUGAUGGUGGGAGCUAAAAUAGCCAUCUUGCUACCAUGAGGCUAUCAAGAGACUAGAGGCCCUUCACUGUGUCUGGUGAAGAGAGAGGUGAAAGAAGCCUGGGUCUCUGAUAGCCAUGGAGCUGGACCAGGAUUGACCAUCUCUGGAGAUUUUAAUGUGAAAAAAAUAAACCCCUUUCUUGUUUCGGCCGCUAUUUUUCCCGUCUCUUUACCAGUAACCAAAUGCAAUUCCUACUUCACAGCAUUGUUAUAUAAAUUAAAUGAGACAGUAUAUGUAUAAAGGGUCCAUAUAUGUGCUAUUAUCCUUUCUUCAUACCAUUCAUAAAAAACAUUAUGGACUAAAUAAGGCUCAGGACAUCAAUUUAUUAAAACCCUGUCAUUUUAGUUAGUUUUUGUUUUUUUUGGCUUACUUGUUUGGUUGACAAAUAUUUUAAAAUAUUACUACUUCACAUAUAUAUAUCACGAAUAAUUGCAAACUCUCUUCUUCUACUUGUCAACUGGCCCCUCUGGGUUUUUGUUGUUGUUGUUCUUUGUUUUGUUUCAUUUUUUAGCGUUUGUGGACGCGCAUGGGGUCACAGAACUUAUCCACACACAGAAAGUCCUUGCCUGGCUCUGCCUGGCCAGCGCCCAUCCAUUCUUCCAGCUCAUCUGACUCCCUCCGUCUACAGUAGCCACUGUCCACCAGUGCUGCUCCCAGAUCCUUCCGUGCCUGAGCCCCUCAUCAGUUAACCUCACCAAAUGAUUCAGCGCUGAGUAAUUUUCUUCUUCUCUUGCCUUUCAGUUGUUUGAUAUGUGGAAUUCUUAUCCUCUGCACUAAACUGUUACUUCCUUGAGAGAAGAGACUACAUUCUUUAAGGAGUGUCCAAAUAAGAUCAGUGUCACGAGGCACGGAAGGACAUCAUUUUGUUGUUUAGAUUCAGCACAACUUAGGGUUGCUUCUCCUGUCCCCCAGUCGCUAAUAGUGUCCAGCACAGAGCUUGGCACGGCAAAGAUGCCUAAUAAAUUCAUGCUAAAUGGAAUUGAAAACCCUUUGCCUUGUUUAGGUCAUGAUGCCAGAAUGAAAAACAUUCAAAUGAUAUUCAAUCAAGAAUUUUCGUCUGAAAAGUCAAAGUAUUGCCCAACGAACUUGAUGUAUGGGGAGAACAAGUGCAACUGAAAAGAACACAGAGCUAGCCAGGACGAAGUGGAAAAGUACCAGGCUGGUCAAGAACCAUUUCCCAGUGCUCUGUGUCCUGCACUGACCAAAGAAUUUGUUCAAUCCAAUCAAGGAAGUCCUUCGGUUGAAUGCCAGUGAGCUCCUCUCCACCUCAGGGAGGCAAAGGCUGAGCUUGCUGUCUCAGAAGAAGCCCAUAUCUGCAUAUUUUAAAUUUUCUCUUAGGAUGGCUGGCACAGAACAAUUAUCAUUUCCACUAUCUCUUGUUUGGAGGAGGUAUUUUCAUGCUAAGUCAGAGAUUAAGUAUAACAUUUAAUUUAAUUUUCAGUUUUCCAUUUCCUUUACAGCUUUGAAACAGAAAUUACUUUUAUUAAAGUAUGAAUUGAAAGUCAAAACAAAAUGUGGUGGCAGAAUUUCAAGUGCAUAACAAAAAAGAGAGUCAAAAGGUAAGGAAUUCAUUUCCACAUCUGAGGAUUCAAGCAAGUUGCCAGUAAACUAAAAUGUAACUAAUAAUAAUUCAAUGAAUAAUUUUAAGGGUGUCCAGCAAUUUUCUGUCAAUAAAGGUGGAGCAUACAGAGAAAAUUCUUUAUUUUUAUUAUACAGUGAAUAUAUGCCCCUCAGAGAAAAAAUAGGAAAUAUAGAUGCAGAUAAAGAAAAAAAAGAGAAGAAAUAUUUUUAAAUCAUCCAAGAGCCCCCCACGGAGACGAGAAGAGCAACUGUCGCCAUCUGGAGGUAAACCAAUUGAGAGUAUAUCAGCUGUCAACAAGAUGAUGAGUUGGAUCCUGCCUGACCUCCCACAGCUGAGGCUGAGGCCAGUUGAGGGUAAAGGCAGUCAUGACUUCACACUCUAGCCGUCAGGUCUGGGGCCAGCCUUCCUCCUGCGGCCCCACUGGGAAGUCCGGUGCAGCCCUGGCACCAAGUUCACUCUCUCCCCACCCACGCUUUACAGAAGAUGAAGAGGAAAGGCAAGAGGAGGCUUCUUCCUCUCCCACGUGGAAGAAGAGGAGGGUGUUUUCUCCUGCCUGAAGCCCAGUGAGGGGAACUCCAAAAGAAUCCUCCCUAAGUGUUGGAGGUGACUGUAAGGUGGGACACCAGCAACUUAUUCUCAGCUAGGUGCUGGCUCAGGGACAGACUCAUGUAUGUGCUUCCUAUAUGGGAACAGACCAUGCUGAGGGUCCUUUCCUUGGGAAAGCACUUGGGGAUCUGAGAAUCUAGGAAUGUAGCAGUUAGAUUUUAGCAACUUUUUCCAUCUAUGGGGGAAAGAGGGUUUGCUUGCCAUAUGUCCCUUGAGGUUUGGGGGUACACUUAGCUUGGAGAGUUCUGAAAGUAGGAGACUAUCUUUGAAAGGAUGUAUCAAUGGUGCUGGAUAUAAAGUACUUGGAAAGAAGAGUGGUCCAACCCCCACUCCAUUCUUGUUUUCUCCGUGUCUUGUAGGGCACAAAAAGACACUGGUAGUUUUUCUGGCUCCACAUAAAAAAGCAUGGGAAUUAUGAGACAGGAGCCUUGAGCCUGUCCAAAUGUGUUUUUUGAGGGCCAAGUAAUGAGGUAUUCAACUUUGAGAGGGCAUUGAGAAUACAUAGAGCAGGUGGGCCGACACUCCUGCUCUCUGGAG
RNAcentral lists this long non-coding RNA (5541 nucleotides) under Equus caballus (horse). Its description in RNAcentral is "lncRNA (ENSECAG00000056940.1)". The record is from RNAcentral. Lineage: Eukaryota; Metazoa; Chordata; Mammalia; Perissodactyla; Equidae.